This is a long non-coding RNA of Cynoglossus semilaevis (tongue sole), 1644 nucleotides long. RefSeq lists it as uncharacterized. Lineage: Eukaryota; Metazoa; Chordata; Actinopteri; Pleuronectiformes; Cynoglossidae. The transcript has 3 exons. The record is from RefSeq and is a predicted model, not a curated record.
CACACACCAAAGUCUUACCGUAUCAAGAAUGGCUGUACACAUGGAAUAGUUGCCCUUCAACGCCCAAGUCCCGUUUUCAAGACACUUCCUGUAAACAUUAUCUGCAAGAGAAGACAGGGCCAGGGGGGCAGACACAAGCCACAAAAGUCCCAUUACUCCACCAACGACCCCAAGUCCUGCUACGUCUUCUUCUACACUGCUCUACGCCGCCUCUUCAUGUAGCCAAGCUACAAGCUGAGACAGUACAACACACAUCUUUGCAUGUUCACCUACAACCAUGCUUAGGCAAGACCACAGGGUUCCUGCAAUCAGCAGUGGGAGCACGUUGAGCAGUGACAGCCAGUUACUGGCUGCUCCCCUCACUACAGCACUCUGCACUGAUGCAUGGACAGGCCUGACACUCUUCCUAAGAUGGGUCAUCUCCACGGGUCGCUGGGAAUGUUUUCUAGCAACGCGGCCAGCUGAGCUUAAGCAGUGGCCAGGAGUCCAGUGGUGUUUGACUGAGGAAAAGGCACAAAUACAACUAAACACAAUUGAAUACAACUGUUCUAUCCGAUUAUGAUUCUGUUUAUUUUUAUAUUCCAAUCUAUUUCCAUCAUUUCAUUUACAUACUAUUUAUAUUCUACUCCAUUUUAUUCCAAUGCUGCUCCUUUUCAUUUCUAUUUUAAAAUUCCAUUAUAAUACAAUUCAGUUCAAAUGAACUGUACUGUACUGUUUUCUACUCUACCUCCAAUGAAUAUACUGGCAAAUCCUUUAAUAAACGGAUGUUACAGUGGAUACGUUUGUCCAUGUUCCUAUCAUAGGGUUAGCGCCCAGAUUAAACCAAAUGUUCAUGAAAUGUGUUUUAGAUCAUAAAGUAAGAAAAAAAAUGUUUUAUUCCGUUCAUUUUCCGAAAAAAAGAAAGAAAAAAACCUUAAUAUGUGAAGACAUUUAAGACCCAAAGGUUAGGAACAAAAGGUUAACAUAAAAAAGUCUGAAUCUGAAGAAGAAAAACAAAUGACUGUAUAGUCUGGCAGUGUAAUAACACAGUCAAUAUCUUUCAAAUGUGGCUGAAUAAAAGAGCUUCAAUACAUCAAUACACACAGAUGGCUCAGGUGCCGUCCCCAUCAUGAAAAUCCUUAUCAUCUGCUAAUCAUUAAAGCCUGGAACUCAACGUCUGGUGUUUAUCACAGCAGGAGAAACUACCAGCCAAUCAAGGGCCUGACAGCACGGUCAUCAUCACACUCAGCACCACCAUAAUCAUUAGCACUGUUGAGUGAGUCAGUAAGUACUAAGACAGGUUUUAUCACUUCAAAUACAGUUAUUAUUUUUAUUUCUUUAAAUUCUUUGAAAAAUGGCAAUAUUUCUUUCAUUAUAUCAACAAAAUAGUAUCAGAAAAUGAGCGUCUGAUGAAAAAUCAGUUUGUACCUCUUAACCUUCUAAUUAGGUUUGAAAUGUCUUCAGAAUUAUGAUAAUUUAUGAGGAAAACUUCUGUCAUCAUAACUGUUUUUUCACCCUAAUCUGAGUCUAAGACUUAGAAUAAAAGGGCUGUAAAUAUUCCAUAAAACAUGAAAAAAGUAAACUCCAAUAAAGGUCAGCAUGGACUAAAAAAAUGUGAGUGUGUUUACCUUGUUAAAUUUGAAAAAGCAGCAUCCAACACCACUU